GUAUCCUUUUUUGCUAAUGCUUCCUUUCGGAAUUAGCGCAUAUUACGUGGGUAGCUUGCUUUAAGUUAUAGCAUAUAACAGUUCACAGUUUUCAAAAGGAAGUGUUUCCCCUUGGUUAUGGAAAUGAUCCUUCCGCAGGUUCACCUACGGAAA
RNAcentral lists this unclassified non-coding RNA (153 nucleotides) under uncultured fungus. RNAcentral describes it as "sequence contains ITS1". Lineage: Eukaryota; Fungi. The record is from RNAcentral.